RNAcentral lists this RNase P RNA (411 nucleotides) under Eubacteriales Family XIII. Incertae Sedis bacterium. RNAcentral's name for it is "RNase P RNA component class A". It matches the Rfam family "Bacterial RNase P class A". Rfam says of the family: Ribonuclease P (RNase P) is a ubiquitous endoribonuclease, found in archaea, bacteria and eukarya as well as chloroplasts and mitochondria. Its best characterised activity is the generation of mature 5'-ends of tRNAs by cleaving the 5'-leader elements of precursor-tRNAs. Lineage: Bacteria; Bacillati; Bacillota; Clostridia; Peptostreptococcales; Anaerovoracaceae. The record is from RNAcentral.
UGAGCAAGCGAGACGGUCGCGCGGCGCUCUGGCGCCGUGAGGAAAGUCCGGGCUCCGCAGGGCAAGGGCGCCGGAUAACGUCCGGCGAGGGCGACCUUAGGGAAAGUGCAACAGAAACACACCGCCGAUGGGGUAUGGCUCUUUCGCGCAAGCGAAGAUGGCCGAGCCCACAGGUAAGGGUGAAAUGGUGCGGUAAGAGCGCACCGGCGUCAUGGAGACAUGGCGGCCGUGUAAACCCCGCCCGGAGCAAGGCAGAAGGGUAUGCCCGCCGCAAGGCGGGGGCUGCGGCCCGUGGCCACCCGGUAUGGUAUGCCGCAGGAGGACGCUUCGGCGUCCCGGAGGCGGGCGGCAACGUCCGUCCCAGAUAGAUGAUCGUCAACCACAGAACCCGGCUUAUUGCUUGCUCACAUC